Molecule: ribosomal RNA, 243 nt
Filed under: uncultured eukaryote
Lineage: Eukaryota
Description: partial small subunit ribosomal RNA
Rfam family: Eukaryotic small subunit ribosomal RNA
Source: RNAcentral
AGCUCCAAUAGCGUAUAUUAAAGUUGUUGCGGUUAAAAAGCUCGUAGUUGGAUUUCUGCUGAGGACGAACGGUCCGCCCUCAGGGUGAGCAUCCGGUUUCGGCCUUUGCAUCUUCUUGGUGAACGUAUCUGCACUUGACUGUGUGGCACGGUAUACAAGACUUUUACUUUGAGGAAAUUAAAGUGUUUCAGGCAGGCAUACGCCUUGAAUACAUUAGCAUGGAAUAAUAGGAUAAGACCUCGG